This 200-nucleotide ribosomal RNA is filed under the name uncultured organism. RNAcentral's name for it is "partial small subunit ribosomal RNA". It matches the Rfam family "Bacterial small subunit ribosomal RNA", at positions 1184 to 1382 of the family's 1533-position model. The record is from RNAcentral.
GUCAAGUCAUCAUGCCCCUUAUGUCCAGGGCUGCACACAUGCUACAAUGGCCGGUACAAAGAGCUGCGAUACCGCAAGGUGGAGCGAAUCUCAUAAAGCCGGUCUCAGUUCGGAUUGGGGUCUGCAACUCGACCCCAUGAAGUCGGAGUCGCUAGUAAUCGCAGAUCAGCAACGCUGCGGUGAAUACGUUCCCGGGCCCU